GGCUGUUGUUGCUUUGUGGGAGGCACAGGCAAAUCAAUUCCCAGCCGAGACUCUGCAGCAGCAGAUGCAGCAAGGACCAAUUGUCAUUCUCUUUGUUGCCGUGACUGUCAAGCUGCAUGAAGGCCAACUGUGUUUGCAAGGAAGCAAAGUCUGUAGGUGGUAUCCCAAUGCUCCUAUUCCAGAAGUUUUAGCUUUGCAGAACAGUUCUGCUGGAGUUUCACAUGAGGCCAGAUUGGUUGACACAUCACCAACAUAGACCCAGACGGGUUAGUGCAUGGCAGGGCUUUCUUCUGGAUGAUGAUGCUUUUGGACCGCUUAAGAAGACUGUUCAUGAUAUGGAGACGCGCUCCCCGUGGUUGUUUGCGAUAUACAGUAGUAUGAGAACAAGGAGGACCCCUACUUUCCAAGUUUCCAUGGCUCGUGGUGUUGGUUAUAUUUUGACCUUUCUGUGACCCUUUGUACCUCCCCAAUCGGUCAGUCUUUUGUAGAUAUAUGGGCUGUUUCGUGUCUUCUCGAGUAGCCCGUAGUUAGGGGAAUGCAGCCAUCCUAUGUUCAUAUUACUACCUAAGAUGCUCCCUGUAAAUCUGUA
Molecule: long non-coding RNA, 589 nt
Organism: Triticum dicoccoides
Lineage: Eukaryota; Viridiplantae; Streptophyta; Magnoliopsida; Poales; Poaceae
Exons: 4
Source: RefSeq, a predicted model, not a curated record